RNAcentral lists this ribosomal RNA (253 nucleotides) under uncultured bacterium. RNAcentral describes it as "partial 16S ribosomal RNA". It matches the Rfam family "Bacterial small subunit ribosomal RNA", at positions 524 to 776 of the family's 1533-position model. The record is from RNAcentral.
GACGAACCGUCCAAACGUUAUUCGGAAUUACUGGGCGUAAAGCGUGCGCAGGCGGCUAUGCAAGACAGAUGUGAAAUCCCCGGGCUCAACCUGGGAACUGCAUUUGUGACUGCAUGGCUAGAGUACGGCAGAGGGGGAUGGAAUUCCGCGUGUAGCAGUGAAAUGCGUAGAUAUGUGGAGGAACACCGAUGGCGAAGGCAGCCCCCUGGGUCAAGACUGACGCUCAUGCACGAAAGCGUGGGGAGCAAACAGG